This 1354-nucleotide ribosomal RNA is filed under the name uncultured bacterium. RNAcentral describes it as "bacterial SSU rRNA". It matches the Rfam family "Bacterial small subunit ribosomal RNA", at positions 43 to 1380 of the family's 1533-position model. The record is from RNAcentral.
CAGGCUUAACACAUGCAAGUCGAGGGGCAGCGGAGGUGAGUGCUUGCACUUGCCAGACGGCGACCGGCGCACGGGUGAGUAACACGUAUGCGACCUGCCCGUAGCAGGGGGAUAAGCGGAAGAAAUUCCGUCUAAUACCGCGUAAUAUCUUUCGGGGGCAUUCCUGAGGGAUUAAAGGAAGUGAUUCCGGCUACGGAUGGGCAUGCGGCGCAUUAGCUAGUCGGCGGGGUAACGGCCCACCGAGGCGACGAUGCGUAGGGGUUCUGAGAGGAAGGUCCCCCACACUGGUACUGAGACACGGACCAGACUCCUACGGGAGGCAGCAGUGAGGAAUAUUGGUCAAUGGGCGAGAGCCUGAACCAGCCAAGUCGCGUGAGGGAAGACGGUCCUAUGGAUUGUAAACCUCUUUUGUCGGGGAGCAAAAAGGCCUCGUGAGGCCACAAGCGAGAGUACCCGAAGAAAAAGCAUCGGCUAACUCCGUGCCAGCAGCCGCGGUAAUACGGAGGAUGCGAGCGUUAUCCGGAUUUAUUGGGUUUAAAGGGUGCGUAGGCGGACUGGAAAGUCAGCGGUAAAAUCGAGAGGCUCAACCUCUUUCCGCCGUUGAAACUGUCGGUCUUGAGUGGGCGAGAAGUAUGCGGAAUGCGUGGUGUAGCGGUGAAAUGCAUAGAUAUCACGCAGAACUCCGAUUGCGAAGGCAGCAUACCGGCGCCCGACUGACGCUGAGGCACGAAAGCGUGGGUAUCGAACAGGAUUAGAUACCCUGGUAGUCCACGCAGUAAACGAUGAAUACUAAUUGUCCGGUCAGAAUGAUGACUGGGUGAUACAGCGAAAGCGUUAAGUAUUCCACCUGGGGAGUACGCCGGCAACGGUGAAACUCAAAGGAAUUGACGGGGGCCCGCACAAGCGGAGGAACAUGUGGUUUAAUUCGAUGAUACGCGAGGAACCUUACCCGGGCUCAAACGUAGAGUGACAGACGGUGAAAGCCGUUCUCCCUUCGGGGCAGUCUACGAGGUGCUGCAUGGUUGUCGUCAGCUCGUGCCGUGAGGUGUCGGCUUAAGUGCCAUAACGAGCGCAACCCCCAUCUACAGUUGCUAACAGGUAAAGCUGAGGACUCUGUGGAGACUGCCGGCGCAAGCUGUGAGGAAGGCGGGGAUGACGUCAAAUCAGCACGGCCCUUACGUCCGGGGCGACACACGUGUUACAAUGGCAGGUACAGCGGGAAGCCAUAUGGCGACAUAGAGCGGAACCCGAAAACCUGUCUCAGUUCGGAUUGGAGUCUGCAACUCGACUCCAUGAAGCUGGAUUCGCUAGUAAUCGCGCAUCAGCCACGGCGCGGUGAAUACGUUCCCGGGCC